RNAcentral lists this ribosomal RNA (316 nucleotides) under uncultured Chloroflexota bacterium. RNAcentral describes it as "bacterial SSU rRNA". It matches the Rfam family "Bacterial small subunit ribosomal RNA", at positions 28 to 351 of the family's 1533-position model. Lineage: Bacteria; Bacillati; Chloroflexota. The record is from RNAcentral.
GAUAAACGCUGGCGGCGUGCAUUAUGCAUGCAAGUCGAACGGUCCUUCGCAAGAAGGGCAGUGGCAAACGGGUGAGUAGCACGUAAGUAACCUGCCCCUAAGUGGGGAAUAACCUCGGGAAACCGAGGCUAAUACCGCAUGUAGUGGUGAAGGUAAGGCUUCACCACCAAAGCCUUCGGGCGCUUGGGGAGGGGCUUGCGGCCGAUUAGCUAGUUGGUAGGGUAACGGCUUACCAAGGUUACGAUCGGUAGCUGGUCUGAGAGGAUGGUCAGCCACACUGGGACUGAGACACGGCCCAGACUCCUACGGGAGGCUG